RNAcentral lists this transfer RNA (74 nucleotides) under Micromonospora pisi. RNAcentral's name for it is "Micromonospora sp. GUI15 tRNA". It matches the Rfam family "tRNA". From Rfam's summary of the family: Transfer RNA (tRNA) molecules are approximately 80 nucleotides in length. Their secondary structure includes four short double-helical elements and three loops (D, anti-codon, and T loops). The record is from Rfam by way of RNAcentral. Lineage: Bacteria; Bacillati; Actinomycetota; Actinomycetes; Micromonosporales; Micromonosporaceae.
GGCGUCGUAGACAAGCGGCUAAAGUCGCCGGGCUUUCAACCCGGAGUUCGCGGGUUCGAAUCCCGUCGGCGCUA